RNAcentral lists this ribosomal RNA (253 nucleotides) under uncultured bacterium. RNAcentral's name for it is "partial 16S ribosomal RNA". It matches the Rfam family "Bacterial small subunit ribosomal RNA", at positions 524 to 776 of the family's 1533-position model. The record is from RNAcentral.
GACGUAGGGGGCGAGCGUUGUCCGGAAUUACUGGGCGUAAAGCGCGCGCAGGUGGUCUUUCAAGUCAGUGGUGAAAGCCCGGAGCUCAACUCCGGAAAUGCCAUUGAAACUGUGAGACUUGAGGACGAGAGAGGUGAGUGGAAUUCCCAGUGUAGAGGUGAAAUUCGUAGAUAUUGGGAAGAACACCGAUGGCGAAGGCAGCCCCCUGGGCUUAAAUUGACGCUGAGGCACGAAAGCGUGGGGAGCAAACAGG